Molecule: non-coding RNA, 301 nt
Organism: Schizosaccharomyces pombe (fission yeast)
Lineage: Eukaryota; Fungi; Ascomycota; Schizosaccharomycetes; Schizosaccharomycetales; Schizosaccharomycetaceae
Source: the annotation of a GenBank genome assembly
GAAGUCUUAUUUGAUUCAGAGGAAACAUUAUCCAACACCAAGUUGUGCGACAAAGUAUGGACGGAAAAACGAGAGUAUAAGUUAAAAACGGGCUCAGCUGUGAUUCCCUGUCGUUUUACUUGAACGACAAGGCUGUUUAAUUUAGGUCGUAGAAAUCCCAAUGGUGGUGCAUGUGGAAACGCGAGAAGGAAAGAUGGCAAUUCUGGCAUUGGAGGUGUUUGUCUUUUCCUUGAGCUUCUUUUACUUGCAGGAGAGGAAGAACCACUGGAACUUGAUGAAGAAGCCAUUAUGAUAGAGAGUU